GGUAACAGUUGAACAAACCUCCUGCUUCGAUAUUCACGAGGCAAGGCCCCUCCCCCCCUCUCUCUCUUUGUCAUCUCCGCCAACCAUAGCGGCGAUUUCUUCAAAGUCCCAACACUCUCAGCUUUCGGUUUUUAUUACUCUCUCGCUCUUCAUUUCCUCACACAUUUUUCUCGCUCUAUAAUUCUCUGUUCAUUUUCCAGAAAAUGGCUCAAGUGGUGGCUACUCGUUCGAUUCAAUCUUCAUUCUCCAGCCCUAGCCAUGGAUCUCUGCAGAGUCAAGUUGAGAAGCUUAAGCCUCCUAGCUUAGCCUCAAAAGUGCUAGGAAGGAAUGAACGGAGCAAUAGUUGUAGAGCUGUUCGUGUUAAUAUGCCGCAGAUCAUUGCUAGGAGAUCUACGCGUGCCGAGCCUCAAGUUCUCCCUGUUUCUCCUGAAGAUGUUCCAAAGAGUGAGGAGCAAGAGCAGUAUCUUCAGGCAAUUCAGCAACUUGGUGACACUUCAGUGGGCAUGUGGUCUAAACCUACUGUAAGACGUAAGACCAAGAUAGUAUGCACAAUCGGUCCCUCUACAAACACAAGAGAAAUGAUAUGGAAACUGGCUGAAGCUGGAAUGAAUGUUGCCCGGAUGAAUAUGUCUCAUGGAGACCAUGCAUCCCACCAGAAAGUCAUUGAUUUGGUUAAGGAGUAUAAUGCACAGUCUAAGGACAAUGUCAUCGCCAUCAUGCUUGACACAAAGGGUCCUGAGGUUAGAAGUGGUGACUUGCCCCAGCCAAUCAUGUUGAAACCUGGACAGGAAUUCACUUUCACAAUUCAGAGAGGGGUUGGCACAGCCGACUGUGUCAGUGUCAACUAUGAUGACUUUGUAAAUGAUGUUGAAGUAGGAGACAUGCUUCUUGUUGAUGGUGGCAUGAUGUCUUUACAGGUGAAAUCCAAGACAGAAGAAUCUGUGAAGUGUGAAGUUAUUGAUGGAGGGGAGCUUAAGUCGAGGAGACAUCUAAAUGUUCGAGGCAAAAGUGCCACACUUCCCUCUAUUACUGAAAAGGACUGGGAUGAUAUCAAGUUUGGAGUAGACAAUAACAUUGACUUUUAUGCUGUUUCCUUCGUCAAAGAUGCAGCAGUGGUUCAUGAGCUGAAGAAUUAUUUGAAGAGUUGUGGUGCAGAUAUUCAUGUUAUUGUGAAAAUUGAGAGUGCAGACUCCAUCCCAAAUUUGCAUUCAAUAAUUACUGCAUCAGAUGGGGCGAUGGUUGCAAGAGGAGAUCUUGGAGCAGAGCUGCCUAUCGAGGAGGUUCCUUUGUUGCAGGAAGAAAUCAUCAAUAUUUGCCGAAGUAUGGGAAAAGCUGUCAUCGUUGCCACCAACAUGCUGGAAAGCAUGAUUGUCCAUCCCACCCCAACUCGAGCAGAAGUAUCAGAUAUUGCGAUUGCUGUUAGAGAGGGUGCUGAUGCUGUUAUGCUUUCUGGAGAAACAGCUCACGGAAAGUUUCCCUUGAAAGCUGUCAAAGUUAUGCAUACCGUGUCACUACGAACUGAGGCUACUAUUGUUGGUGGUGAAACCCCUACAAAUCUAGGCCAAGCCUUCAAGAACCAUAUGAGCGAGAUGUUCGCUUUCCAUGCAACUAUGAUGUCCAACACUCUUGGAACC
RNAcentral lists this unclassified non-coding RNA (1634 nucleotides) under Hevea brasiliensis (rubber tree). The record is from RNAcentral. Lineage: Eukaryota; Viridiplantae; Streptophyta; Magnoliopsida; Malpighiales; Euphorbiaceae.